RNAcentral lists this ribosomal RNA (433 nucleotides) under uncultured bacterium. RNAcentral describes it as "partial 16S ribosomal RNA". It matches the Rfam family "Bacterial small subunit ribosomal RNA", at positions 29 to 507 of the family's 1533-position model. The record is from RNAcentral.
AACGAACGCUGGCGGCAUGCCUAACACAUGCAAGUCGAACGAGACCUUCGGGUCUAGUGGCGAACGGGUGCGUAACGCGUGGGAACCUGCCCUUAGGUUCGGAAUAACUCCCCGAAAGGGGUGCUAAUACCGGAUACUGUCUUCGGACCAAAGAUUUAUCGCCUUUGGAUGGGCCCGCGUUGGAUUGGCUAGUUGGUAGGGGAAAAGCCUACCAAGGCGACGAUCCAUAGCUGGUCUGAGAGGAGGAUCAGCCACACUGGGACUGAGACACGGCCCAGACUCCUACGGGAGGCUGCAGUGGGGAAUAUUGGACGAUGGGCGAAAGCCUGAUCCAGCAAUGCCGCGUGAGUGAUGAAGGCCUUAGGGUUGUAAAGCUCUUUUACCCGGGAUGAUAAUGACAGUACCGGGAGAAUAAGCUCCGGCUAACUCCGUG